RNAcentral lists this ribosomal RNA (468 nucleotides) under uncultured bacterium. RNAcentral describes it as "partial 16S ribosomal RNA". It matches the Rfam family "Bacterial small subunit ribosomal RNA", at positions 28 to 507 of the family's 1533-position model. The record is from RNAcentral.
GACGAACGCUGGCGGCGUGCUUAACACAUGCAAGUCGAACGGAAAGGCCCUGCUUUUGUGGGGUGCUCGAGUGGCGAACGGGUGAGUAACACGUGAGUAACCUGCCCCUGACUUUGGGAUAACUUCAGGAAACUGGGGCUAAUACCGGCUAGGAGCUCCUGCUGCAUGGUGGGGGUUGGAAAGUUUCGGCGGUUGGGGAUGGACUCGCGGCUUAUCAGCUUGUUGGUGGGGUAGUGGCUUACCAAGGCCUUGACGGGUAGCCGGCCUGAGAGGGUCACCGGCCACGUUGGGACUGAGAUGCGGCCCGGACUCCUACGGGAGGCAGCGGUGGGGAAUAGUGCACAAUGGGCGGAGGCCUGAUGCAGCAACGCCGCGUGCGGGAUGACGGCCUUCGGGUUGUAAACCGCUUUCGCCUGUGACGAAGCGUGAGUGACGGUAAUGGGUAAAGAAGCACCGGCUAACUACGUG